RNAcentral lists this ribosomal RNA (424 nucleotides) under uncultured bacterium. RNAcentral describes it as "bacterial SSU rRNA". It matches the Rfam family "Bacterial small subunit ribosomal RNA", at positions 355 to 776 of the family's 1533-position model. The record is from RNAcentral.
UGAGGAAUAUUGGUCAAUGGGCGAGAGCCUGAACCAGCCAAGUAGCGUGAAGGAUGACUGCCCUAUGGGUUGUAAACUUCUUUUAUAAAGGAAUAAAGUCGGGUAUGGAUACCCGUUUGCAUGUACUUUAUGAAUAAGGAUCGGCUAACUCCGUGCCAGCAGCCGCGGUAAUACGGAGGAUCCGAGCGUUAUCCGGAUUUAUUGGGUUUAAAGGGAGCGUAGGUGGAUUGUUAAGUCAGUUGUGAAAGUUUGCGGCUCAACCGUAAAAUUGCAGUUGAAACUGGCAGUCUUGAGUACAGUAGAGGUGGGCGGAAUUCGUGGUGUAGCGGUGAAAUGCUUAGAUAUCACGAAGAACUCCGAUUGCGAAGGCAGCCUGCUAAGCUGCAACUGACAUUGAGGCUCGAAAGUGUGGGUAUCAAACAGG